RNAcentral lists this ribosomal RNA (253 nucleotides) under uncultured bacterium. RNAcentral's name for it is "partial 16S ribosomal RNA". It matches the Rfam family "Bacterial small subunit ribosomal RNA", at positions 524 to 776 of the family's 1533-position model. The record is from RNAcentral.
UACGGAGGGGGCUAGCGUUGUUCGGAAUUACUGGGCGUAAAGCGCACGUAGGCGGCUUUGUAGGUUGGGGGUGAAAGCCUGGAGCUCAACUCCAGAAUUGCCUUUAAGACUGCAUCGCUUGAAUCCGAGAGAGGUGAGUGGAAUUCCGAGUGUAGAGGUGAAAUUCGUAGAUAUUCGGAAGAACACCAGUGGCGAAGGCGGCUCACUGGCUCGGUAUUGACGCUGAGGCACGAAAGCGUGGGGAGCAAACAGG